This 109-nucleotide non-coding RNA is filed under the name Drosophila pseudoobscura. Lineage: Eukaryota; Metazoa; Arthropoda; Insecta; Diptera; Drosophilidae. The record is from miRBase by way of RNAcentral. RNAcentral also lists the same sequence under 1 other name.
UGUAUAUUUCAAAUGUUUUUAGUUCUUCAGAUCGCCAGGUAUUAUAUGUAAUACUUAAAAACCGUGUUAUACCGGUCAUCUGAAGAAUUAUUUACCACAGAAAGCAACA